Molecule: non-coding RNA, 1994 nt
Organism: Phalacrocorax carbo (great cormorant)
Lineage: Eukaryota; Metazoa; Chordata; Aves; Suliformes; Phalacrocoracidae
Source: RefSeq, a predicted model, not a curated record
ACAAAGCUUUUUUCUGCUGUUCUACUUACCUUACAAUCUGCAGGAGGGCUCCGGCUUGACAAAUAUGGUCCCUGCUUCCAUUUGAUCCACAAUACGUGGGAGCCCGUUCCUCGUUCUCGCGGGAAGGCUGCGGCAGCCCGGUGCGAAGGUAAGGGCAAGAGGUGCCGAAAGGGAGACGCGCGAGCGGGCUGGAGCGUCGCAGCUGGCCGGUAGGUUACCGCGGGCGCUCCUGGGGAAGCGGCAGGGCAGGGGGCACGCCGCCGAGGGGCACCGCAGCCGCCUGGGCGUGGGAGCGCUGGAAACGCGGCGGAGCUCGGGGCAGGAAACACCUGCCCGGCAGCGCUGGGGCUGCGCCGUCAGGCAAGCUCCCGGCUCCGCGGCAGCCUUCGGCGCCCCUAUCGAGGGGCUGCUUUGGGUGGAAGAGGUGUCCUCGGGAGGCCGGCCUGAGAAAAUCCUGUGCAGGAAGGUGGGAGUGUGGGAAAACACAGCCCCCGGCUUUGCGGGAAGGCCUGGUAGAGCUGGGCUUUAGAGCGGCUCAGUCCUUGCUCGGGCAGUGUUUUGUGUCCUCACGAUGCCAAACCAAACGCGCUGACGAUGGACAAGCAAAAGAGAAACGUUGCAGUGUCUUUGCAAGAGUCUUUGCCUCUUGCUUGAGCAGAUCUCACCACUCCUUGCUUCCUUCUAAUGUGGAAACCUGUAAUUUUCCUGUGAACGGGGAUGCACGCUUUAACGGCUGGAGGUCUGGUACAUGUGGGCGAGGUGGAAAUGGGAGCUUGGGGCGUGACUUUGUAGCUGCUCAGUCUGUGUGCAGAAGCCUGCUGACCCCGUUAACCAAGGUUGGCCCUAAUCAAGAGGGGUUUCCUCUGCCCAGGGCGGUUUGAGCUGCUGCGAAGGGUUUUGCCCUGUCCAGCUCUUGCUUUUCCAUUGCUUUACCUUCGGAGUGACUCCAGGAGGAGCCCUGGGGUUUCUCUUCAGCAAACAGCUGGUUAUACAAGUCAGAGCUGGAAGCGAUCCAUGCACUUGAUAAAUAACACCGAGCCUGGGAUCUCCUGAGCUAAGCAAGAAAGGUUGCUUAAAGCACUGGGUUGAACAAACAGAGAUAAGGCUGGGGUUGAUACUCUUGUAAAUGCCUUUGUCAUCUGUUGCUAAAACCUCCUAACUCCAGGGGUGCGAGGAGGUGGCCAUAGGGCACCCUUCUCUUUACCGACCCCCAGAAAAGGCAGGGACCCGGCGGGGGGGUGUUACGAUACCAUAUUUAUGAAGUACGAUAGUGGGGACCCUUCUGGGGAGAGGCUGGAUGCCUGCUCUAGCUGUCGGCCUUCUUAAGGGCAGGAUGUGGGUUGGGGUAGUUGGCUCUGCUCGUGCCCCCGCCUAGCGCCGGGGUUUGAACGGGGCACAAAGUGCAUGGGGGAGGUUGUUACGGGGCCAGCGGGCUCUCGCCUACGCUCUGCUGCUCGCCUCGUCUCUGCUGUUGGCGGCGAAGCUCCCAUCAGAGCUUUGCCUUAAUGAAAUGUGGCAGAUGAGGGAGCCCUUUCCACCCUGCCAGGUUCCCAGCUGGGCUACGGCAGGGGAUACGGGGGUGUCCGUGAGGGGUGGGCUCCUGCGGGGGUCAGGGCUUGCUUUAGCAGCUUUGCCCGGCUGCCCAGGGCCGGGCUCCUCCUGCCUGCCCCGCGCUGCAGGCGGUAGGCUUAAUUAAUGCUUGGGGGAGAGCCGUGGCUGGGUGAGAUGUCCCGAGGUGCCCCCAGGACUUGCAUCAGGACGGAGCGUGCUUGUGUAACCAACUGGCCUGCUGGAGCCGAGGCUGAGCACCGAUCCCGUUCCCUGAAACCACAUGUUCCUGCAGGCAGCGCGGGCGGGCAGCGCGGCACCCACCUUCCCCAGCAUUGCCCCGGCUGUGCCCUCGCAGCUGCAGGGAGAAGUCACGUCGGAGCAAAGUAACCCUGCCGGGGGCAGCCGGAUGAGUAAUGCAACAGGCAGUGUCAUUUUAUACGCUA